This 20-nucleotide microRNA is filed under the name Gallus gallus (chicken). RNAcentral's name for it is "gga-miR-1765". Lineage: Eukaryota; Metazoa; Chordata; Aves; Galliformes; Phasianidae. The record is from miRBase by way of RNAcentral.
CGGAGCGCGGCCCUGCGCUG